AGCAGCGUGGCUCAGUGGCAAGAGCCCGGACUUGGGAGUCAGAGGUCAUGGGUUCGAAUCCCGGCUCUGCCG
This 72-nucleotide transfer RNA is filed under the name Ornithorhynchus anatinus (platypus). It matches the Rfam family "tRNA". Rfam says of the family: Transfer RNA (tRNA) molecules are approximately 80 nucleotides in length. Their secondary structure includes four short double-helical elements and three loops (D, anti-codon, and T loops). The record is from Rfam by way of RNAcentral. Lineage: Eukaryota; Metazoa; Chordata; Mammalia; Monotremata; Ornithorhynchidae.